RNAcentral lists this ribosomal RNA (253 nucleotides) under uncultured bacterium. Its description in RNAcentral is "partial 16S ribosomal RNA". It matches the Rfam family "Bacterial small subunit ribosomal RNA", at positions 524 to 776 of the family's 1533-position model. The record is from RNAcentral.
UACGUAGGGGGCUAGCGUUGUCCGGAUUUAUUGGGCGUAAAGAGCGUGUAGGCGGCCAGGUAGGUCUGCUGUGAAAACUCGAGGCUCAACCUCGAGACGUCGGCGGAAACCAUCUGGCUAGAGUCCGGAAGAGGAGAGUGGAAUUCCUGGUGUAGCGGUGAAAUGCGCAGAUAUCAGGAAGAACACCCGUGGCGAAGGCGGCUCUCUGGGACGUGACUGACGCUGAGACGCGAAAGCGUGGGGAGCGAACAGG